Bos taurus (domestic cattle) is the source of this 1500-nucleotide long non-coding RNA. The record is from Ensembl. Lineage: Eukaryota; Metazoa; Chordata; Mammalia; Artiodactyla; Bovidae.
GCAGAGAGCAGGGAUUCGUGCAGGAGGGGAAAUGCCAGAACAGAGAUCCAGGGCCCUGGAGAGGAGGCAGAAUGAACAAGUGCAGAGGUCAACAGCCAGGAACACACAUCAGGUGUGUGUGAAUGUGUCCAUGGAAGUAAUUGUAACUACUGGAAUAGGUACACAGCACUGAACUCUUGACAGAGACACCCCUUUGAUGCUGCACAGGAGGCUCAGUCUUAUCUCACAUGCAAGGACACAGGUUAAGUAACUUGCCUCUGGUCAUCCAUCAGUAGAGUCAGAGUCAGAUGGUAGGUCUUUGAGAUGAACUCAGAGAGAGAACCAUUUGGAGGCUUUGAUGAAUUGGUUUUCUCAGCCCUGGGCAUGAUUUCUGCUUAGAAUAAUUGGAGACGACCUGGAACAAGUCAGGCCUGCAUGGUGGAUAGAGCUGAGAAAAAUCAGGAAGAAAAAGAUCUUGUGAACAGAGGAAGUAAGAGUCAACAUAUAUUAACUAAGUUGAGUAAGGUGGCCAACAGCUGGGGAAGAAGCUGAGGUGCUCUGCAUGCCAACAAUGUCUGUGCCCCAGAGCAGCCGCAAACUCCCACGUUCUUUCUCCCCUGGCUAUCCAAGAGUGGAUUGGCUGCAGGUACCUUAUCAGAGUGAGAAAAUGAAGAAAACAGGAAAAGAUGAUGGGUCUGAAGAGUGCUCAUCUACACUAAAGGCUUAUCAUAUGCCUACAGACUAGUCAUCAUUGGGAAACAGCUGGAAUAUCAGGCCAAGAGCACAGGAGUGGGAAACAGAGGAGCUUCCAGUCCCAGCUCUGCUCUGUCACCCCGAGAAAAUCCCUCCGCCUGUCUAAGCCACACGUUCACAUGUGUAGAUAAGGACACCAGCACUCCCCAUGGUGGUGUGAGGUCAGAUGAAAUGAUGUGCAUGAAGUUUCUGGGUACAGUAAACAACGCACUGGACAAAGGAAAGGCAUAUCUACUCUGCUUUUCUCUCUCUCCUGGGCUUCCCUGGUGGCUCAGAUGGUAACGAAUUUGCCGGCAAUGUGGGAGACCUGGGUUCGAUCCCUGGAUUGGGAAGAUCCCCUGGAGGAGGGCAUGGCAACCCACUCCAGUAUUCUUGCCUGGAGAAUCCCCAUGGACAGAGGAGCCUGGCAGGCUACAGUCCAUGGGGUCGCAAAGAGUCGGACAAGACUGAGUGACUCAGCACAACAUUCCCCUCUCUCCCACCACAGUGCACAAAGGCACAUUUUAGGAAACCUUGGAAUUGAUGAGCCAGCACCUUCCAACCAGCGGGGAUAGGCCUACGACUUCAAGGCUGUUAGCACAACAACAAAGGGAAACACAGAAAGAGGAGACUACGUCCAUGUAGUCUGGGAGAUAGACAGGAGGGCACUAAAAAAAAAGAAAAACUCAGGAUCCCAGACAGAAAACUUACCCUCAGGUCCAGGCCAUUCAGCUGCUUCUGCAAAUUCCCUGAGUCAGAAUCAAGUGUGCAGCAAGUUAGGGGAACAAG